This 484-nucleotide ribosomal RNA is filed under the name uncultured bacterium. RNAcentral describes it as "bacterial SSU rRNA". It matches the Rfam family "Bacterial small subunit ribosomal RNA", at positions 28 to 507 of the family's 1533-position model. The record is from RNAcentral.
GAUGAACGCUAGCGGCAGGCUUAAUACAUGCAAGUCGAGGGGCAGCACGGGUAGCAAUACCUGGUGGCGACCGGCAAACGGGUGCGGAACACGUACGCAACCUUCCCGAAACUGGUGAAUAGCCCUCCGAAAGGAGGAUUAAUACACCGUAAGAUAAUGGAGUGGCAUCACUCUAUUAUUAUAGCUACGGCGGUUUUGGAUGGGCGUGCGCCUGAUUAGGUAGUUGGCGGGUAACGGCCCACCAAGCCUGCGAUCAGUAACUGGUGUGAGAGCACGACCAGUCACACGGGCACUGAGACACGGGCCCGAACUCCUACGGGAGGCAGCAGUAAGGAAUAUUGGUCAAUGGACGCAAGUCUGAACCAGCCAUGCCGCGUGAAGGAUGAAGGCCCUCUGGGUUGUAAACUUCUUUUAUCUGGGACGAAAAAAGGGAAUUCUUUCCCACUUGACGGUACCAGAGGAAUAAGCACCGGCUAACUCCGUG